Molecule: ribosomal RNA, 508 nt
Filed under: uncultured bacterium
Lineage: Bacteria
Description: partial 16S ribosomal RNA
Rfam family: Bacterial small subunit ribosomal RNA
Source: RNAcentral
AUUGAACGCUGGCGGCAUGCCUUACACAUGCAAGUCGAACGGCAGCGGGGGAGAAGCUUGCUUUUCCUGCCGGCGAGUGGCGAACGGGUGAGUAAUACAUCGGAGCGUGCCCUGUAGUGGGGGAUAACUAGUCGAAAGAUUAACUAAUACCGCAUACGACCUGAGGGUGAAAGUGGGGGACCGCAAGGCCUCAUGCUAUAGGAGCGGCCGAUGUCUGAUUAGCUAGUUGGUGGGGUAAAGGCCUACCAAGGCGACGAUCAGUAGCUGGUCUGAGAGGACGAUCAGCCACACUGGGACUGAGACACGGCCCAGACUCCUACGGGAGGCAGCAGUGGGGAAUUUUGGACAAUGGGCGAAAGCCUGAUCCAGCAAUGCCGCGUGUGUGAAGAAGGCCUUCGGGUUGUAAAGCACUUUUGUCCGGAAAGAAAUGGCUCUGGUUAAUACCUGGGGUCGAUGACGGUACCGGAAGAAUAAGGACCGGCUAACUACGUGCCAGCAGCCGCGGUAA